CUUGAGAAAAAUCGUUGCCUCAAACUUGAGAAAAGUCGUUGGUUCAAGAACCGGAACAAAGAGAGAUUCGGAGAUGAACAGAGAAGAGAGAACGAAAAUUAAUUUAGCCGACAAAUAAUGAAAUUUUGAGGAAAUCAAACUUGAGUAGAUCAAAAGGUGUAAAGUUUAUCGUGGUGGUACGAGGUAAAACGGAACAAAAAUACCCCGUCAUUAAAUACGCAAGUAGCCUAAUGUUGUCAAAAGGACCAACACGAUUUUUGAUUGAGAAAACCUCAACAACCGAGAGGAACUCAAAGAAAGGAAGUCACCUGUUAAUCGUAAACUUGGCAAUACAGGAGAGAAGAAGGAUGGCCAUGGAAGAAUGGUGCACAAGUUAGCAUCUUAGCGAUGUUGGUUGUGUUCCCUGCUUCCAUGGCCGCUUCUGCAGUAUGCUGCCCUCCCAAUUGCACCAACCCAUCGCUUCUCCCUAAUUUCUUCUGAUCAAACUCAGGAAUGAGAGGACUGGAUUUUUGGCGGGGUUCCUUCACACUAGUCACUAAUGAGGCUUGAAGAAGUUGACUACAGAUUUAUCUUUGCUCAUUGGUGAUAGUCUAGUAUGUUGCAGUUUAGGCGUGCAAUAAUUUAAAUCGAAGUAUGUUGUUGCUGUUGAUGUAUGUAAAUGUCGACCUUAACAUUUAAUUAGUUGAACAACUCCUUGUAAUGAUUUUCAGUUUAAGAGAAGUUAGUUUUAGCUA
Long non-coding RNA from Spinacia oleracea (spinach), 734 nucleotides. RefSeq lists it as uncharacterized. The transcript is spliced from 3 exons. Lineage: Eukaryota; Viridiplantae; Streptophyta; Magnoliopsida; Caryophyllales; Amaranthaceae. The record is from RefSeq and is a predicted model, not a curated record.